RNAcentral lists this ribosomal RNA (703 nucleotides) under uncultured bacterium. Its description in RNAcentral is "bacterial SSU rRNA". It matches the Rfam family "Bacterial small subunit ribosomal RNA", at positions 59 to 775 of the family's 1533-position model. The record is from RNAcentral.
CAGUCGAACGAGCGAGAGAGAGCUUGCUUUCUCGAGCGAGUGGCGAACGGCUGAGUAACGCGUGAGGAACCUGCCUCAAAGAGGGGGACAACAGUUGGAAACGACUGCUAAUACCGCAUAAGCCCACGGCUCGGCAUCGAGCAGAGGGAAAAGGAGCAAUCCGCUUUGAGAUGGCCUCGCGUCCGAUUAGCUAGUUGGUGAGGUAACGGCCCACCAAGGCAGCGAUCGGUAGCCGGACUGAGAGGUUGAACGGCCACAUUGGGACUGAGACACGGCCCAGACUCCUACGGGAGGCAGCAGUGGGGAAUAUUGCACAAUGGGGGAAACCCUGAUGCAGCGACGCCGCGUGGAGGAAGAAGGUCUUCGGAUUGUAAACUCCUGUUGUUGGGGAAGAUAAUGACGGUACCCGACAAGGAAGUGACGGCUAACUACGUGCCAGCAGCCGCGGUAAAACGUAGGUCACAAGCGUUGUCCGGAAUUACUGGGUGUAAAGGGAGCGCAGGCGGGAAGACAAGUUGGAAGUGAAAUCUAUGGGCUCAACCCAUAAACUGCUUUCAAAACUGUUUUUCUUGAGUAGUGCAGAGGUAGGCGGAAUUCCCGGUGUAGCGGUGGAAUGCGUAGAUAUCGGGAGGAACACCAGUGGCGAAGGCGGCCUACUGGGCACCAACUGACGCUGAGGCUCGAAAGUGUGGGUAGCAAACAG